RNAcentral lists this ribosomal RNA (438 nucleotides) under uncultured bacterium. RNAcentral describes it as "bacterial SSU rRNA". It matches the Rfam family "Bacterial small subunit ribosomal RNA", at positions 954 to 1392 of the family's 1533-position model. The record is from RNAcentral.
GCACAACGCGAAGAACCUUACCAGCCCUUGACAUGGUCGGACGGUUUCCAGAGAUGGAUCCCUUCACUUCGGUGACUGACACACAGGUGCUGCAUGGCUGUCGUCAGCUCGUGUCGUGAGAUGUUGGGUUAAGUCCCGCAACGAGCGCAACCCUCGCCCUUAGUUGCCAUCAUUCAGUUGGGCACUCGUAAGGGGACUGCCGGUGAUAAGCCGGAGGAGGUGGGGAUGACGUCAAGUCUUCAUGGCCCUUACGGGCUGGGCUACACACGUGCUACAAUGGUGGUGACAGAGGGCUGCUAGGCCGCGAGGCCAUGCUAAUCCCGAAAAGCUAUCUCAGUUCGGAUUGCACUCUGCAACUCGGGUGCAUGAAGUCGGAAUCGCUAGUAAUCGCAGAUCAGCACGCUGCGGUGAAUACGUUCCCGGGUCUUGUACACACCG